CAGCUCUCCGAGUGGUAGGGAUGAUUAUUUGGCCUAAAGCGUCCGUAGCCGGCCGUGUAAGUCUCCCGUUAAAUCCAGCGUCUCAAGCGUUGGACUGCGGGAGAUACUGUACGGCUAGAGAGUGGGAGAGGUCAGCGGUAUUCUGGGGGUAGGGGCGAAAUCCUUUGAUCCCCGGAGGACCACCAGUGGCGAAGGCUGCUGACUAGAACACGUCUGACGGUCAGGGACGAAAGCUGGGGUAGCGAACCGGAUUAGAUACCCGAGUAGUCC
This 270-nucleotide ribosomal RNA is filed under the name uncultured archaeon. RNAcentral's name for it is "partial 16S ribosomal RNA". It matches the Rfam family "Archaeal small subunit ribosomal RNA", at positions 477 to 747 of the family's 1478-position model. The record is from RNAcentral.